UACAGAGGUCCCAAGCGUUGUUCGGAAUUAUUGGGCGUAAAGGGUGCGUAGGCGGUUUGGUAAGUCUCGUGUGAAAUCUCCGGGCUCAACUCGGAGCCUGCACGAGAAACUGCCGGGCUUGAGUGUGGGAGAGGUGAGUGGAAUUCCUGGUGUAGCGGUGAAAUGCGUAGAUAUCAGGAGGAACACCUGUGGCGAAAGCGGCUCACUGGACCAUAACUGACGCUGAUGCACGAAAGCUAGGGGAGCAAACAGG
This 253-nucleotide ribosomal RNA is filed under the name uncultured bacterium. Its description in RNAcentral is "partial 16S ribosomal RNA". It matches the Rfam family "Bacterial small subunit ribosomal RNA", at positions 524 to 776 of the family's 1533-position model. The record is from RNAcentral.